This 530-nucleotide ribosomal RNA is filed under the name uncultured bacterium. Its description in RNAcentral is "bacterial SSU rRNA". It matches the Rfam family "Bacterial small subunit ribosomal RNA", at positions 777 to 1304 of the family's 1533-position model. The record is from RNAcentral.
AAUAGAUAUCCGGGUAGUCCACGCCGUAAACGAUGAGUGCUAAGUGUUAGAGGGUUUCCGCCCGUUUAAUGCUGCAGCUAACGCAUUAAGCACUCCGCCUGGGGAGUACGGUCGCAAGACUGAAACUCAAAGGAAUUGACGGGGGCCCGCACAAGCGGUGGAGCAUGUGGUUUAAUUCGAAGCAACGCGAAGAACCUUACCAGGUCUUGACAUCCUCUGACAACUCUAGAGAUAGAGCGUUCCCCUUCGGGGGACAGAGUGACAGGUGGUGCAUGGUUGUCGUCAGCUCGUGUCGUGAGAUGUUGGGUUAAGUCCCGCAACGAGCGCAACCCUUGAUCUUAGUUGCCAGCAUUUAGUUGGGCACUCUAAGGUGACUGCCGGUGACAAACCGGAGGAAGGUGGGGAUGACGUCAAAUCAUCAUGCCCCUUAUGACCUGGGCUACACACGUGCUACAAUGGAUGGUACAAAGGGCUGCAAGACCGCGAGGUCAAGCCAAUCCCAUAAAACCAUUCUCAGUUCGGAUUGUAGG